GCACCGCCAUAAACCUUGAUAGACUAACCACAACCUCUAUCCGCCAGGGAACUACGAGCAUAAGCUUAAAACCCAAAGGACUUGGCGGUGCUUUAGACCCCCCUAGAGGAGCCUGUUCUAGAACCGAUAACCCCCGUUCGACCUCACCUUUUCUUGUUCAUCCCGUCUAUAUACCGCCGUCGUCAGCAUACCCUGUGAAGGAAACAUAGUAAGCAAAACUGGUAAGACCCAAAACGCCAGGUCGAGGUGUAGCACACGAAAAGGAAAGAAAUGGGCUACAUUUCCUCUUACAGGAAAUACGAAUUGUGUCAUGAAACAACACAUGAAGGAGGAUUUAGCAGUAAGCAGAAAACAGAGUGUUCUACUGAACCCGGCCCUGAAGCACGC
RNAcentral lists this ribosomal RNA (387 nucleotides) under Poecilia velifera (sail-fin molly). RNAcentral's name for it is "partial 12S ribosomal RNA". It matches the Rfam family "Bacterial small subunit ribosomal RNA", at positions 794 to 1384 of the family's 1533-position model. RNAcentral also lists the same sequence under 1 other name. The record is from RNAcentral. Lineage: Eukaryota; Metazoa; Chordata; Actinopteri; Cyprinodontiformes; Poeciliidae.